RNAcentral lists this long non-coding RNA (1909 nucleotides) under Equus caballus (horse). RNAcentral describes it as "lncRNA (ENSECAG00000047080.1)". The record is from RNAcentral. Lineage: Eukaryota; Metazoa; Chordata; Mammalia; Perissodactyla; Equidae.
UCUUUCAUCUCAAGAGCACCUGGGCUUAUAUUUACUAAGAGUUGCGCAUGGCAGAAUCUCCCGCACUAUUUGGCUGAUUUCUCUCUCUGUUUCUGUGGAACGUUACAGAGUUUGUAUAUUUUAAGUGUCUGUAUGAUGUGACCCCAACACAGUACCAACGGCUCCUUUAACGUCAUCCUGCCCCGGGCAUUCCUUUGUUGUUGUAGAAUACUAAUCUUUGCGUGCUCUGCUCUUGAGGAGCCAGGAAGAGCUGCGUGUUCGAGGGGGAGAUGGACACACGAUAAACAUGGAGCACGACAAAUAACGAUAAACACGGAGCAGUGGAGACCAGGGGACAUCUGUCAAUGUCUGGAGACAUCUUUGGUUGUCACAGCUGGAGGUGUUCCUGUCAUCCAGCGGGUAGAGUCCAGGGUUGCUGCUAAACAUCCUACAGUGCACCAGGACAUCCCCUUGUCCCACAACAGGGAAUUAUCCAGCUCCAAAUGCCAACGGCGCUGAGGUUGAGAAACCCUGGUCUGGGCAUGGAAUUACUUCUGAUCGCUCAGGGUUUAUCAAAGAGAUCAUCUGAUAUCGGGUGAAGUAAUCUGACUCAGAAAUUUCUGGUGAUAACUAGCAAUUUCUCAAACUAGAAAGCAGGUAGCUGGUGCCUAUAGGUCCCCAAAGAUGCCAUGUUUCCUCUUUGACUUGCUAAUUUUCCAGAUGCCCUGGUGGUAAUUUACCGGCGCAACUUCUCCUGGGAUCACAUACUCCUUAGGCAUAGGAUUUGCUGUAAUUAAGACCCAAGGAGACUGAAACCUCCUCCUUUGAGAAGAAGCUCAUGAGAUGAAUGAGUCUCUUUUUCCAGUGACCCACCGACCCCCUGUGAUUUCUCCUCUCGCUUUUGCCAGCAGUGAUUCCUCUCGUUCACUGCUUCUUUGUCCCUUUAUUUUCCGGUCUCCAUUGACCGCUACAUUGAAGAGUGGCAGGCGAGGUUCCUCAUGGCCUGGAGAAUCCUUCUGGCUGUGGGGAACCUCAAGAGAAGGUGACUGUUGAAGUAGCCGGUCCACCGAUCCCCAGACUGAGCCGGAUGCUAAGGUCACGUUAGGCAUGGUGAAUUGGCUCCCCCCCAGCGGCCUGUCAUCCCCCCGCACCCUGCGGAAGAGCUGACACACACGUGGGCGUGCACAGACACACUUAAGAUCCUGUGAGAGGGCUCAUAUUGCCAAAUGUUCUUCAGUCACCAUGUGUAGCUGUUGUGAUCACCAUGGUAAUUGACGAGUCUAUCUGGAACAGAUGAUACAGAGAUGCAAGGAAAUGGGUGCUGGACGCUCCCAGGAAUGGCCCGUUGGUAUUUCCUAUGGAGGAGAAGCUCUGGAUGACAUCGUUAAUUUCCUUUUUCUCUUACCUAAGCACCUCUGUUGCUCGAACCCUCUCUACACUCCUUCGCCGAGGCUGCACAGCCCCCAGAUCUUCACAAUGUUUUGAUGCAGUUGCCUUUUGAACUAAGGACCAGGGCAAGAGACGCGGGGAAGAGUUUCCCAGGGGCUCGAAUGGUGUUGGUCACGGAGCCGACGUCCAGAGUGAUGGGUGUGUUGUCAGUCUGAGCACCGGGUCCUGAGGGACAGGAUUCACUCAGGCACCUGCGUGAUGAUGACUAUUUACUUACGACUUACUCAUGUGAUAUGCAGGGCCUGCAGAGCUGAGAGCAGAGACCCUGUUGCUUGGGUCUGAGCCUGAAACAGAUGAUAUGCAUGAAAGGUUCCUUUUUGAGCUGCUUUUCUUUUUGGCUCCAGGAGAAGAAUGAUCUAGAGUCUCCCUAAAGAAAGGAGAAGAAGGAGGAGGACACAGAAAGGAUGGUUUGAGACCAGUGUCCUGCCUCACCUUGUCUCUUGGACCAGUUUAUAGCCCUGAUGCAGGAGGGCACAGCUUG